This 523-nucleotide long non-coding RNA is filed under the name Nicotiana benthamiana. RNAcentral's name for it is "long non-coding RNA (NBEN_LNC021006)". Lineage: Eukaryota; Viridiplantae; Streptophyta; Magnoliopsida; Solanales; Solanaceae. The record is from RNAcentral.
UGACUUUGAGGUUGAUGCACACUGAAACUCAUGCUGAGCUCAUCCUUACGCUAGUCUAUGCCAAAUGCGAUCGCAUUGAAACAAUUGACCUUUGGGAUUCUUUGUACGGAAUGGCUUCAGAUAUGACAGUACCAUGGCUAGUUAGAAGUGACUUUAAUGUCAUAUGGGAUGAGGAAGAGAAGUAUGGAGGCUUUCCGGUUUCUAUCCUUGAAGUAGAUGACUUUAGACACUGCAUAAAUACCUGCAAUUUGACAGAUUUGGGAUUUAAUGGAAGCUUAUUUACAUGGUGGAAUGGAAUAGCAGAGGAGGACUAUAUAUUCAAAAGAUUGGAUAGAUGUUUAGGCAAUGACGAAUUGCAACUGACCUUUCGUGGAUUGGAGGUAAUUCACCAGUCCAAAAUUGGCUCUGAUCAUUGCCCGAUACUGCUGAAAUGUGACAUAAAAACUCCCCCAAUUAAGAAGUCGUUCAGAUUUUUAACUUCUGGACAAAGCAUGAAACUUUCAAAGAUGUAGUGAAGGAGAAU